This is a non-coding RNA of Anolis sagrei ordinatus, 459 nucleotides long. The record is from RefSeq and is a predicted model, not a curated record. Lineage: Eukaryota; Metazoa; Chordata; Lepidosauria; Squamata; Anolidae.
UCACUUCUUCUGGCUGCCGCUUCCUGUUUCCUGUUUUCUUUCGCCAGUCAGUGAGUUGACUCUCUAGCCACAUAAACUUUCUUGUAGCUUUGCUUUGGGAAGGAGGGAGCGUAGACAAAACAAUUCUUCUCUCAAGAACGGCAGACAACAGCGUGAAAAGAUGAGUUGAACCACCAAAAAAGAGCUUCCCUCCAUGUGAUGAGGAGGGGGAGAAGCUGUGACAGAAUGGAGCAUGGGGUAAUGCAUCCCCACGCCACCUUCACGACUGCUGGCAGGAUGAAGUGAUCUAGGACACCUUUGCCAGCAUAUGUGACAAGGCUACUAGAACACGCCCCCUUAAGGCAAACCUAACCUAAGAUGGCAUCUCCCUGUCUCCCUUUCUGAAAAUGGAUGCCGUGUCUUCGCCAGGCCCACUUCCUUAGGCUUUUGCCAGCUAGCUAAGGUAAGGGAUUCAUUACA